Molecule: ribosomal RNA, 427 nt
Filed under: uncultured bacterium
Lineage: Bacteria
Description: partial 16S ribosomal RNA
Rfam family: Bacterial small subunit ribosomal RNA
Source: RNAcentral
UGGGGAAUAUUGGACAAUGGGCGAAAGCCUGAUCCAGCCAUGCCGCGUGUGUGAAGAAGGUCUUCGGAUUGUAAAGCACUUUAAGUUGGGAGGAAGGGCAUUAACCUAAUACGUUAGUGUUUUGACGUUACCGACAGAAUAAGCACCGGCUAACUCUGUGCCAGCAGCCGCGGUAAUACAGAGGGUGCAAGCGUUAAUCGGAAUUACUGGGCGUAAAGAGCGCGUAGGUGGUUUGUUAAGUUGGAUGUGAAAUCCCCGGGCUCAACCUGGGAACUGCAUUCAAAACUGACUGACUAGAGUAUGGUAGAGGGUGGUGGAAUUUCCUGUGUAGCGGUGAAAUGCGUAGAUAUAGGAAGGAACACCAGUGGCGAAGGCGACCACCUGGACUAAUACUGACACUGAGGUGCGAAAGCGUGGGGAGCAAACA